GACGAACGCUGGCGGCGUGCCUAAUACAUGCAAGUCGAACGCAGUGGGGACGGGUGAGUAACACGUGGGUAACCUUCCAUCAGAGGGGAUAACACUUGGAAACAGGUGCUAAACCGAUACUGAUGGAUGGACCCGCGGUGAAUUAGCUAGUUGGUGAGGUAACGGCUCACCAAGGCCACGAUGCAUAGCCGGUCUGUGAGGGUUAUCCGCCACACUGGGACUGAGACACGGCACAGACUCCUACGUGAGGCAGCAGUGGGGAAUCUUCGGCAAUGGACAAAAGUCUGACCGAGCAAGGACGCGUGAGUGAAGAAGGUUUUCGGAUCGUAAAUCACUGGUGUUAGAGAAGCGGUAUCUAACCAGAAAGCAACGGCUUACUACGUGCCAGCCGCCGCGGUAAUAC
Molecule: ribosomal RNA, 403 nt
Filed under: uncultured bacterium
Lineage: Bacteria
Description: partial 16S ribosomal RNA
Rfam family: Bacterial small subunit ribosomal RNA
Source: RNAcentral